UACAGAGGCCUCGAGCGUUAAUCGGAAUCACUGGGCUUAAAGGGUGCGUAGGCGGCGCUGCAAGUGCCUUGUGAAAUCCCACGGCUUAACCGUGGAACUGCUCGGUAGACUGCAGCGCUUGAGGUUGGUAGGGGCUGCCGGAACUCUAGGUGGAGCGGUGAAAUGCGUAGAUAUCUAGAGGAACGCCCAAGGCGAAGGCAGGCAGCUGGGCCAAUUCUGACGCUGAGGCACGAAAGCGUGGGGAGCAAACGGG
RNAcentral lists this ribosomal RNA (253 nucleotides) under uncultured bacterium. RNAcentral's name for it is "partial 16S ribosomal RNA". It matches the Rfam family "Bacterial small subunit ribosomal RNA", at positions 524 to 776 of the family's 1533-position model. The record is from RNAcentral.